UAGGGAAUCUUCCACAAUGGACGAAAGUCUGAUGGAGCAACGCCGCGUGAGUGAAGAAGGUUUUCGGAUCGUAAAACUCUGUUGUUGGAGAAGAACGUAUUUGAUAGUAACUGAUCAGGUAGUGACGGUAUCCAACCAGAAAGCCACGGCUAACUACGUGCAAG
RNAcentral lists this ribosomal RNA (164 nucleotides) under uncultured bacterium. RNAcentral's name for it is "partial 16S rRNA". It matches the Rfam family "Bacterial small subunit ribosomal RNA", at positions 355 to 511 of the family's 1533-position model. The record is from RNAcentral.